AUCCAUGGCGGGCGGUGCGUGGGGGUCCUCGGACCCGCCGGAUUGGGUAUUCACCGGUUUUCGAGACACGCACCGUCCGCCGCCUUU
This 87-nucleotide non-coding RNA is filed under the name Stenotrophomonas maltophilia. The record is from RNAcentral. Lineage: Bacteria; Pseudomonadati; Pseudomonadota; Gammaproteobacteria; Lysobacterales; Lysobacteraceae.